GCCGGCUGUCGGCUGGUUGCCGGCUCCGAGGGCGAUGAGAGUGGCAGGUGUGCCCUGCUGCACAGGUGGCCUCCGAACCCGGGAAAAGAGGAACUAAGGCGGAGGAACUGAGACGUUUCGAAUUCCAGGCGCACUGCACACUCGCCGGGGGGCACGCCAUGCAAAUCUCCUUCUGGGCCAAUGCACAUGGUUGCUGCCACAGGUUUACCGGAUGCUAUCAAGGUUUCAACUGCCCACACAGCUUCUUCAACGUGUUCAAAAUACUGGAAUCAGUUAAGCUAAGGUAUGAAGGUGUCUGACUCACUCCUCCUGCUACCAAAGCAUCUCCUUCAUCAGCCACUUGUCGGGCGAUGUCGCAAGCAGCUUCAUUGACUUCCUGCCCCUAAAAUGGGUGAGUAUAUGAGACAUCUAAAUUUUCAUGUGAAAUUGAAAUAAAAUUAUUAUUCAAACAUUCA
RNAcentral lists this long non-coding RNA (455 nucleotides) under Homo sapiens (human). Its description in RNAcentral is "non-protein coding lnc-DMGDH-1:4". Lineage: Eukaryota; Metazoa; Chordata; Mammalia; Primates; Hominidae. The record is from RNAcentral.